This is a long non-coding RNA of Sinocyclocheilus anshuiensis, 122 nucleotides long. RefSeq lists it as uncharacterized. NCBI's taxonomy places the organism in Eukaryota, Metazoa, Chordata, Actinopteri, Cypriniformes, Cyprinidae. The transcript has 3 exons. The record is from RefSeq and is a predicted model, not a curated record.
CUCUUGAUCAUAUUAACCCUGAUUCUGAUUCUCUUCGCUCUGACUGUUGGACUUGCACUCUACAAAAUUAGACAAUUGUCCAGCAAGCUGAAGGCUCAGAAUGAGGCAGCAGGCACAUAUGC